This 254-nucleotide ribosomal RNA is filed under the name uncultured bacterium. RNAcentral's name for it is "partial 16S ribosomal RNA". It matches the Rfam family "Bacterial small subunit ribosomal RNA", at positions 524 to 776 of the family's 1533-position model. The record is from RNAcentral.
UACGUAGGGCGCAAGCGUUUGUCCGGAAUUAUUGGGCGUAAAGAGCUCGUAGGCGGUUUGUCGCGUCUGCUGUGAAAACUCGAGGCUCAACCUCGGGCUUGCAGUGGGUACGGGCAGACUAGAGUGAUGUAGGGGAGACUGGAAUUCCUGGUGUAGCGGUGAAAUGCGCAGAUAUCAGGAGGAACACCGAUGGCGAAGGCAGGUCUCUGGGCCGUAACUGACGCUGAGGAGCGAAAGCAUGGGGAGCGAACAGG